RNAcentral lists this long non-coding RNA (726 nucleotides) under Lathyrus oleraceus (garden pea). Its description in RNAcentral is "Pisum sativum (pea) long non-coding RNA (PSAT_LNC022120)". Lineage: Eukaryota; Viridiplantae; Streptophyta; Magnoliopsida; Fabales; Fabaceae. The record is from RNAcentral.
AAAGGGAAAUACUAGGGGUUCAAGCUCAGAGUUCGUGUUGUUACCUUCGUAACUGUUGUUCAAUCUAAUAAUCAGGGGGUAUUUCUUUUGGGCACUGUUCUUGUUGGGAUUCAUUGGCUCAUAUAUUUUUUUCUUUUUAUUGCUCUUUUGAGCAUGCUUUUUGCCAACCUUAAUACUUCUAGAUAAAUGCUUCAUGAUAAUUCUCAUAAUUUUUUUCUUCAUUUCUCUCUUUUUUUUCUUUGAAUUUUCUCAUCUUUCUGCACUUAUCUAUUUUUUAUCGGUGUCCCUAAAUUUUGAUGCAACCCCAAACUUAGGCUUUUCCACAGAUCCGGGGUAAACAACACUUAUCUAAGAAAGGUGUGGUAGUGUAUUGGCUUAUGGUUAUAUACAAUGGUUAAAUAACAAACAAAAGGAAAUAUGGCUCAAAUUGGGUGAACGAAAGGUAAUAAUGGCGGGUUGGCUGGAAAGGCUCAAGGUUAAAAUAAAAACAAUGCCUCAGUGUGUACAAGUGUGUUAUGAAAUUCCAGUAUCUCUUAUGCAAACCCAUAGAGACAAAGAUAUACCUGGAAAGCUUUCAAGGGUUGGCUGGAAAGGCUCAAGGUUAAAAUAAAAACAAUGCCUCAGUGUGUACAAGUGUGUUAUGAAAUUCCAGUAUCUCUUAUGCAAACCCAUAGAGACAAAGAUAUACCUGGAAAGCUUUCAUGAUGACAAAUGUUUGACUUUUUG